RNAcentral lists this ribosomal RNA (425 nucleotides) under uncultured bacterium. RNAcentral describes it as "partial 16S ribosomal RNA". It matches the Rfam family "Bacterial small subunit ribosomal RNA", at positions 354 to 796 of the family's 1533-position model. The record is from RNAcentral.
GUGGGGAAUAUUGCACAAUGGGGGAAACCCUGAUGCAGCGACGCCGCGUGAGUGAAGAAGUAUUUCGGUACGUAAAGCUCUAUCAGCAAGGAAGAAAAUGACGGUACUUGACUAAGAAGCCCCGGCUAACUACGUGCCAGCAGCCGCGGUAAUACGUAGGGGGCAAGCGUUAUCCGGAUUUACUGGGUGUAAAGGGAGCGUAGACGGUAUGGUAAGUCAGAUGUGAAAGCCCGGGGCUCAACCCCGGGACUGCAUUUGAAACUAUCAGACUGGAGUGCAGGAGAGGUAAGUGGAAUUCCUAGUGUAGCGGUGAAAUGCGUAGAUAUUAGGAGGAACACCAGUGGCGAAGGCGGCUUACUGGACUGUAACUGACGUUGAGGCUCGAAAGCGUGGGGAGCAAACAGGAUUAGAUACCCGGGUAGUCC